RNAcentral lists this ribosomal RNA (468 nucleotides) under uncultured bacterium. Its description in RNAcentral is "partial 16S ribosomal RNA". It matches the Rfam family "Bacterial small subunit ribosomal RNA", at positions 28 to 507 of the family's 1533-position model. The record is from RNAcentral.
GACGAACGCUGGCGGCGUGCUUAACACAUGCAAGUCGAACGGAAAGGCCCUGCUUUUGUGGGGUGCUCGAGUGGCGAACGGGUGAGUAAAACGUGAGUAUACUGCACUUGACUUUGGGAUAACUUCAGGAAAAUGGGGCUAAUACCGGAUAGGAGCUCCUGCUGCAUGGUGGGGGUUGGAAAGUUUCGGCGGUUGGGGAUGGACUCGCAGCUUAUCAGCUUGUUGGUGAGGUAGGGGCUUACCAAGGCUUUGACGGGUAGCCGGCCUGAGAGGGUGACCGGGGACAUUGGGACUGAGAUACGGCCCAGACGCCUACGGGAGGCAGCAGGGGGGAAUAUUGCGCAAUGGGCGGAAGCCUGAUGCAGCAGCGCCGCGUGCGGGAUGACGGCCUUCGGGUUGUAAACCGCUUUCGCAUGUGACGUAGCGUGAGUGACGGUAAUGGGUAAAGAAGCACCGGCUAACUACGUG